UUGCUCAGAUUGAACGCUGGCGGCAGGCUUAACACAUGCAAGUCGAGCGGGGGAAGGUAGCUUGCUACCGGACCUAGCGGCGGACGGGUGAGUAAUGCUUAGGAAUCUGCCUAUUAGUGGGGGACAACAUCUCGAAAGGGAUGCUAAUACCGCAUACGUCCUACGGGAGAAAGCAGGGGAUCUUCGGACCUUGCGCUAAUAGAUGAGCCUAAGUCGGAUUAGCUAGUUGGUGGGGUAAAGGCCUACCAAGGCGACGAUCUGUAGCGGGUCUGAGAGGAUGAUCCGCCACACUGGGACUGAGACACGGCCCAGACUCCUACGGGAGGCAGCAGUGGGGAAUAUUGGACAAUGGGGGGAACCCUGAUCCAGCCAUGCCGCGUGUGUGAAGAAGGCCUUAUGGUUGUAAAGCACUUUAAGCGAGGAGGAGGCUACUUUAGUUAAUACCUAGAGAUAGUGGACGUUACUCGCAGAAUAAGCACCGGCUAACUCUGUGCCAGCAGCCGCGGUAAUACAGAGGGUGCGAGCGUUAAUCGGAUUUACUGGGCGUAAAGCGUGCGUAGGCGGCUUAUUAAGUCGGAUGUGAAAUCCCCGAGCUUAACUUGGGAAUUGCAUUCGAUACUGGUGAGCUAGAGUAUGGGAGAGGAUGGUAGAAUUCCAGGUGUAGCGGUGAAAUGCGUAGAGAUCUGGAGGAAUACCGAUGGCGAAGGCAGCCAUCUGGCCUAAUACUGACGCUGAGGUACGAAAGCAUGGGGAGCAAACAGGAUUAGAUACCCUGGUAGUCCAUGCCGUAAACGAUGUCUACUAGCCGUUGGGGCCUUUGAGGCUUUAGUGGCGCAGCUAACGCGAUAAGUAGACCGC
Molecule: ribosomal RNA, 858 nt
Filed under: Acinetobacter baumannii
Lineage: Bacteria; Pseudomonadati; Pseudomonadota; Gammaproteobacteria; Moraxellales; Moraxellaceae
Description: bacterial SSU rRNA
Rfam family: Bacterial small subunit ribosomal RNA
Source: RNAcentral